RNAcentral lists this ribosomal RNA (411 nucleotides) under Bacteroidota bacterium. RNAcentral's name for it is "Bacteroidetes bacterium partial 16S ribosomal RNA". It matches the Rfam family "Bacterial small subunit ribosomal RNA", at positions 355 to 776 of the family's 1533-position model. Lineage: Bacteria; Pseudomonadati; Bacteroidota. The record is from RNAcentral.
UGGGGAAUAUUGCGCAAUGGGGGAAACCCUGACGCAGCGACGCCGCGUGCGGGAUGAAGGCCUUCGGGUUGUAAACCGCUUUUGAUUGGGAGCAAGCUUUCGGGUGAGUGUACUUUUCGAAUAAGCGCCGGCUAACUACGUGCCAGCAGCCGCGGCAAUACGUAGGGCGCAAGCGUUAUCCGGAAUUAUUGGGCGUAAAGAGCUUGUAGGCGGUUCGUCGCGUCUGGUGUGAAAGCCCAUCGCUUAACGGUGGGUUUGCGCCGGUUACGGGCGGGUUAGAGUGCAGUAGGGGAGACUGGAAUUCUCGGUGUAACGGUGGAAUGUGUAGAUAUCGGGAAGAACACCAAUGGCGAAGGCAGGUCUCUGGGCUGUUACUGACGCUGAGAAGCGAAAGCGUGGGGAGCGAACAGG